Molecule: ribosomal RNA, 253 nt
Filed under: uncultured bacterium
Lineage: Bacteria
Description: partial 16S ribosomal RNA
Rfam family: Bacterial small subunit ribosomal RNA
Source: RNAcentral
UACGUAUGGGGCAAGCGUUAUCCGGAAUUACUGGGUGUAAAGGGAGCGUAGGCGGUACGGCAAGUCAGAAGUGAAAGCCUGGGGCUCAACCCCGGAAUUGCUUUUGAAACUGUCGGACUAGAGUGUCGGAGGGGUAAGCGGAAUUCCUAGUGUAGCGGUGAAAUGCGUAGAUAUUAGGAGGAACACCGGUGGCGAAGGCGGCUUACUGGACGACCACUGACGCUGAGGCUCGAAAGCGUGGGGAGCAAACAGG